Molecule: long non-coding RNA, 620 nt
Filed under: Mus musculus (house mouse)
Lineage: Eukaryota; Metazoa; Chordata; Mammalia; Rodentia; Muridae
Description: predicted gene, 57081
Source: RNAcentral
GCACUUGAGAGCGCUCGGCUGGGUGUCUGCUGUGGCGCCGCGGCGGGAAUGUGCGGGGGCCACGGCCCGGCUCCGCACGUCUCAGCCCGGAGCAGGCAGAACCCUCCCUCUGCCUCUGCUAGCAAGCGUCCUGCCCCGAGUCCAGUAAGGGAGAGAGGUCUGCGGGGCAGGCGAGGCCGACCUUUUGUUUGUUUGAGGAGUUUCGUGUUUCAGACAUUUAGAGUGAGCAAACUGCGAGGGAGGAAGAAGGGCUUGUCCUCCCUGCAAGCGUUUCUUUCUCCUAGCAAAGCCUCCAGGCCCAGCUUCCACAUUUUGCAGUUGACUGUGUGGGAUCUUCAUAGGUUCAUCCCUCAUUCUCAGGCCCAAUCCAUGCACGCUGUGCAGCCAGAGAGAAUGAGAGCACAUCCUCUGCCAUUUUCAGCCGGUUGCUGCCGGCAGCCCAGCCCCCUUUCCUUGGCUGUGGCUGCCGCCGGAGUUCCGGCGCCCAGAAGCGGCCCCCGGUCCGCCCGGCCCCGGAUCCAGUCCACUUUUGCCGAUUGCCGUCCUGCCCGGCUUGGUGAUAAGAACUCUCCUGUGAGAGCCAGCGAACGAGACUUUAGUCCGGUUUCCAUGUCAACGAU